AUUGAACGCUGGCGGCAGGCCUAACACAUGCAAGUCGAACGCGUGGCGGACGGGUGAGUCAUGUCUGGGACACUGCCUGAUGGCUGGGGAUAACUACUGGAAACGGUAGCUAAUACCGCAUACCAUCAGAUGUGCGCAGAUGGUAUUAGCUUGUUGGUGGGGUAACGGCUCACCAAGGCGCCGAUCCCUAGCUGGUCUGAGAGGAUGACGAGCCACACUGGAAAUGAGACACGGUCCAGACUCCUACGGGAGGCAGCAGUGGGGAAGAUUGCGCAAUGGGCGCAAGCCUGACGCAGCCAUGCCGCGUGUAUGAAGAAGGCCUUCGGGUUGUAAAGUACUGUCAGCGGGGAGGCGUUACCCGCAGAAGAAGCACCGGCUAACUCCGUGCCAGCAGCCGCGGUAAUUC
This 406-nucleotide ribosomal RNA is filed under the name uncultured bacterium. RNAcentral describes it as "partial 16S ribosomal RNA". It matches the Rfam family "Bacterial small subunit ribosomal RNA", at positions 30 to 526 of the family's 1533-position model. The record is from RNAcentral.